Molecule: transfer RNA, 70 nt
Filed under: Eleotris fusca (dusky sleeper)
Lineage: Eukaryota; Metazoa; Chordata; Actinopteri; Gobiiformes; Eleotridae
Description: tRNA-Tyr
Rfam family: tRNA
About the family: Transfer RNA (tRNA) molecules are approximately 80 nucleotides in length. Their secondary structure includes four short double-helical elements and three loops (D, anti-codon, and T loops).
Source: RNAcentral
GGUAAAAUGGCUGAGUGCCAAGCGGUGGAUUGUAGCCCCAUGAACAGAGGUUUAAAUCCUCUUUUUACCA